GACAGAGGGUGCAAACGUUGUUCGGAAUUACUGGGCGUAAAGCGCGUGUAGCGGCACUGCAGGUGGAUGUGAAAUCCCGCGGCUCAACCGUGGAAGUGCACCCGAAACCGCAGAGCUAGAGUAUCGGAGAGGAAGGUGGAAUGCUUGGUGUAGAGGUGAAAUUCGUAGAUAUCAAGCGGAACACCGGUGGCGAAGGCGGCCUUACUGGACGAUUCUGACGCUGAGACGCGAAAAGG
Molecule: ribosomal RNA, 236 nt
Filed under: uncultured bacterium
Lineage: Bacteria
Description: partial 16S ribosomal RNA
Rfam family: Bacterial small subunit ribosomal RNA
Source: RNAcentral